CCCUACGGGGGGCAGCAGUGGGGGAUAUUGCACAAUGGGGGGAACCCUGAUGCAGCGACGCCGCGUGGGUGAAGAAGUAUUUCGGUAUGUAAAGCCCUAUCGGCAGGGAAGAAUUUAGACGGUACCUGACUAAGAAGCCCCGGCUAACUACGUGCCAGCAGCCGCGGGAAUACGGAGGGGGGCAGCGUUAUCCGGGUUCACUGGGGGUAAAGGGAGCGUAGACGGCCAUGCAAGCCUGGAGUGAAAACCCGGGG
This 254-nucleotide ribosomal RNA is filed under the name uncultured bacterium. Its description in RNAcentral is "partial 16S ribosomal RNA". It matches the Rfam family "Bacterial small subunit ribosomal RNA", at positions 337 to 607 of the family's 1533-position model. The record is from RNAcentral.